GGAUGAACGCUAGCGGCAGGCUUAACACAUGCAAGUCGAGGGGCAGCGAGAUUGUUAGCAAUAACGAUUGUCGGCGACCGGCGCAAGGGUGCGUAACGCGUGAGCUACUUGCUCGUUUCAGGGGGAUAACCGGUGGAAACGCCGACUAAUACCCCAUGGUGAUAUUUUAAGGCAUCUUAUGAUAUCUAAAGAAUUUCGGAAACGGAUAGGCUCGCGUGACAUUAGAUAGAUGGCGGGGUAACGGCCCACCAUGUCGACGAUGUCUAGGGGUUCUGAGAGGAAGGUCCCCCACACUGGAACUGAGACACGGUCCAGACUCCUACGGGAGGCAGCAGUGAGGAAUAUUGGUCAAUGGUCGGAAGACUGAACCAGCCAAGUAGCGUGAAGGAUGAAGGUUCUAUGGAUUGUAAACUUCUUUUAUACGGGAAUAAAACACACCACGUGUGGUGUCUUGUAUGUACCGUAUGAAUAAGCAUCGGCUAACUCCGUGCCAGCAGCCGCGGUAAUACGGAGGAUGCGAGCGUUAUCCGGAUUUAUUGGGUUUAAAGGGAGCGUAGACGGGAUGUUAAGUCAGUUGUGAAAGGCUGCGGCUCAACCGCAGCACUGCAGUUGAUACUGGCGUCCUUGAGUGCGGUUGAGGUGUGUGGAAUUCGUGGUGUAGCGGUGAAAUGCUUAGAUAUCACGAAGAACUCCGAUUGCGAAGGCAGCACACUAAGCCGCUACUGACGUUGAGGCUCGAAAGUGUGGGUAUCAAACAGGAUUAGAUACCCUGGUAGUCCACACGGUAAACGAUGAAUACUCGCUGUUGGCGAUAUAUUGUCAGCGGCCAAGCGAAAGCAUUAAGUAUUCCACCUGGGGAGUACGCCGGCAACGGUGAAACUCAAAGGAAUUGACGGGGGCCCGCACAAGCGGAGGAACAUGUGGUUUAAUUCGAUGAUACGCGAGGAACCUUACCCGGGCUUAAAUUGCAGGGGACAGACCGAGAGAUCGGUCCUUCUUCGGACUCCUGUGAAGGUGCUGCAUGGUUGUCGUCAGCUCGUGCCGUGAGGUGUCGGCUUAAGUGCCAUAACGAGCGCAACCCUUGCCAAUAGUUACUAACAGGUUAUGCUGAGGACUCUAUUGGGACUGCCAUCGUAAGAUGUGAGGAAGGUGGGGAUGACGUCAAAUCAGCACGGCCCUUACGUCCGGGGCUACACACGUGUUACAAUGGGAGGUACAGAAGGCCGCUACCCGGCGACGGGAUGCCAAUCCCCAAAACCUCUCUCAGUUCGGAUUGGAGUCUGCAACCCGACUCCAUGAAGCUGGAUUCGAUAGUAAUCGCGCAUCAGCCACGGCGCGGUGAAUAC
This 1346-nucleotide ribosomal RNA is filed under the name uncultured bacterium. Its description in RNAcentral is "bacterial SSU rRNA". It matches the Rfam family "Bacterial small subunit ribosomal RNA", at positions 27 to 1369 of the family's 1533-position model. The record is from RNAcentral.